Molecule: long non-coding RNA, 276 nt
Filed under: Homo sapiens (human)
Lineage: Eukaryota; Metazoa; Chordata; Mammalia; Primates; Hominidae
Description: HSALNT0316346
Source: RNAcentral
UCGAACUGGAAUAAUUGAGAUGGCCGAUACUAGGCAUGCAUGUGCAUACAGAAAAGAGAGUAACCCAAUAGUGAGGAAGAAAUUGAUGCUGCAGGAGAGAGGGAAUAAUUGCCGAAGCAAAGAUCUUGAGGUACUGAGAAAGGAUGACCCUAAUUUCCUUAAUGCUGCAGCCUGCUUCCACUGAGGGACUGGAGGCUCCUUGAGCAAAAUUAUCUACCUCUUCACCUUUGGAUCUUUCACAGUUCCCAGUUCGGUGUACUACAGAUUGUACUUGCU